RNAcentral lists this ribosomal RNA (1385 nucleotides) under uncultured bacterium. Its description in RNAcentral is "bacterial SSU rRNA". It matches the Rfam family "Bacterial small subunit ribosomal RNA", at positions 28 to 1381 of the family's 1533-position model. The record is from RNAcentral.
GACGAACGCUGGCGGCGUGCCUAAUACAUGCAAGUCGAGCGAGCGGAACUAACAGAUUUACUUCGGUAAUGACGUUAGGAAAGCGAGCGGCGGAUGGGUGAGUAACACGUGGGGAACCUGCCCCAUAGUCUGGGAUACCACUUGGAAACAGGUGCUAAUACCGGAUAAGAAAGCAGAUCGCAUGAUCAGCUUUUAAAAGGCGGCGUAAGCUGUCGCUAUGGGAUGGCCCCGCGGUGCAUUAGCUAGUUGGUAAGGUAAAGGCUUACCAAGGCGAUGAUGCAUAGCCGAGUUGAGAGACUGAACGGCCACAUUGGGACUGAGACACGGCCCAAACUCCUACGGGAGGCAGCAGUAGGGAAUCUUCCACAAUGGACGCAAGUCUGAUGGAGCAACGCCGCGUGAGUGAAGAAGGUUUUCGGAUCGUAAAGCUCUGUUGUUGGUGAAGAAGGAUAGAGGUAGUAACUGGCCUUUAUUUGACGGUAAUCAACCAGAAAGUCACGGCUAACUACGUGCCAGCAGCCGCGGUAAUACGUAGGUGGCAAGCGUUGUCCGGAUUUAUUGGGCGUAAAGCGAGCGCAGGCGGAAGAAUAAGUCUGAUGUGAAAGCCCUCGGCUUAACCGAGGAACUGCAUCGGAAACUGUUUUUCUUGAGUGCAGAAGAGGAGAGUGGAACUCCAUGUGUAGCGGUGGAAUGCGUAGAUAUAUGGAAGAACACCAGUGGCGAAGGCGGCUCUCUGGUCUGCAACUGACGCUGAGGCUCGAAAGCAUGGGUAGCGAACAGGAUUAGAUACCCUGGUAGUCCAUGCCGUAAACGAUGAGUGCUAAGUGUUGGGAGGUUUCCGCCUCUCAGUGCUGCAGCUAACGCAUUAAGCACUCCGCCUGGGGAGUACGACCGCAAGGUUGAAACUCAAAGGAAUUGACGGGGGCCCGCACAAGCGGUGGAGCAUGUGGUUUAAUUCGAAGCAACGCGAAGAACCUUACCAGGUCUUGACAUCUAGUGCCAUUUGUAGAGAUACAAAGUUCCCUUCGGGGACGCUAAGACAGGUGGUGCAUGGCUGUCGUCAGCUCGUGUCGUGAGAUGUUGGGUUAAGUCCCGCAACGGGCGCAACCCUUGUUAUUAGUUGCCAGCAUUAAGUUGGGCACUCUAAUGAGACUGCCGGUGACAAACCGGAGGAAGGUGGGGAUGACGUCAAGUCAUCAUGCCCCUUAUGACCUGGGCUACACACGUGCUACAAUGGGCAGUACAACGAGAAGCGAGCCUGCGAAGGCAAGCGAAUCCCUGAAAGCUGUUCUCAGUUCGGACUGCAGUCUGCAACUCGACUGCACGAAGCUGGAAUCGCUAGUAAUCGCGGAUCAGCACGCCGCGGUGAAUACGUUCCCGGGCCU